This 3453-nucleotide ribosomal RNA is filed under the name Candidatus Terrybacteria bacterium RIFCSPLOWO2_01_FULL_58_14. Its description in RNAcentral is "23S ribosomal RNA". It matches the Rfam family "Bacterial large subunit ribosomal RNA". Lineage: Bacteria; Candidatus Terryibacteriota. The record is from RNAcentral.
GACCAAGACACGAAGGGCGUAGCGUGGAUGCCUUGACGGGAGAUGCCGAUGAAGGGCGUGGCGUGGCUGCGAUAAGCCCCGGGGAGGUGCUGAGCAACCUUUGAUCCGGGGAUGCCCGAAUGGGGAAACCUAUGCCGUGCGAACACGGCAUGCGUCNNNNNNNNNNNNNNNNNNNNNNNNNNNNNNNNNNNNNNNNNNNNNNNNNNNNNNNNNNNNNNNNNNNNNNNNNNNNNNNNNNNNNNNNNNNNNNNNNNNNNNNNNNNNNNNNNNNNNGGGGGAACCUGGCGAAGUGAAACAUCUCAGUAGCCAGAGGAAAAGAAAACAAGAUCAACUUCUCAUUUUGGUUCGAGGGCGAAAUCUCGAAUCUCUAAUCUCGAAUCUCUAAACGGAUUCCGUUUAGGGUUUAGAGAUUAGGGUUUAGGAUUUUACCGAGGAGCGAAGCGACGAGCUGAUUCCAUUCCCGUAGUAGCGGCGAGCGAACCGGGAAGAGCCCAAACCCCGUUUUCUGUAGAUUUAUCUAGGGGAGGCGGGGGGUUGUAAGACGAAGACGAUUCCUUCAAGGAGGAGAGCGAAAAGUUGAAAGUUGGCUAGCCGAACGGCCUGGAACGGCCGACCAGAGAGGGCAAACGUCCCGUAGGCGAAAACCCUUUCACGCUCUCUGUUUUCGUUCUUGAGUACCUCGGGGAACGAAAGCCCCGGGGGAACCUGGCAGGCCUAACCUGCCAAGGCUAAAUACGUCUUCCGAUCGAUAGUGAACCAGUACCGUGAGGGAAAGGUGAAAAGCAGCCCGGUGAGGGCGGUGAAAAAGAACCUGAAACGCUAUGCCUACAAAGAGUCGGAGGCCCGGUGCUUGCACCGGGCUGACGGCGUGCUUUUUGCAGAACGAUCCAGCGAGUUCGUGCGCCCCGCUUGUUAAAGUCGCUGAGGCGACGGAGGCACAGGGAAACCGAGUCCGAAUAGGGCGUGCCCUUUACUUCGCAAAGGGAAACUCUAAACUCGAAACCCUAAACCCUAAGACGGAAACGUUUUAGGAUUUAGAUAUUAGGAUUUAGGAUUUCCCCAAUGCGGAGCAUUGGGAGGCGGUGCGCACGAGACCCGAAGCCAGGUGAGCUACCCGUGGCCAGGGUGAACCCCGUGUAAUAGCGGGGGGAGGCCCGAACCCGUUGGCCGUGCAAUACCAUGGGAUGAGCUGCGGGUAGGAGUGAAAAGCUAAUCGAACCUGGUAAUAGCUGGUUCUCCCCGAAAUGUGUUUUGGCACAGCGCUCUGCAGCAACCGCGGGGGUAGAGCACUGAAUGGAUGUCAUGGGGGCAACCUCGGAUAUUCAAUCAAACUCCGAAUACCGCGUGCCAAGUGCAGAGUAGUGAGACCGCGGGGGCGAAGCUCCGUGGUCGAGAGGGAAACAGCCCAGACCGUCGUCUAAGGCCCCAAAGUCAUCGCUCAAUGCAAUAAAGGAAGUGCGGCUUCUCUGACAGCGAGGAGGUUGGCUUAGAAGCAGCCACCCUUGAAAGAAAGCGUAACAGCUCACUCGUCCAGAGGCUGCGCACCGAAAAUGUCCGGGGCGAAGCGAUGCGCCGAAGACACGGAACCUUGUGCUUCGCACAAGGAAUCUCUAAUCUCGAAUUUCUAAUUUCUAAGCGGACGACGUUUUAGAAAUUAGAGUUUAGGAUUUAGGGUUUCCUCGCGCGAAGCGCGNNNNNNNNNNNNNNNNNNNNNNAUUGCGUUGAAGUUGAACCGUAAGGUUUGGUGGAGCGAUCGGGAGUGAGAAUGCUGGAAUGAGUAACCGCAACCCCGGUGAGAUCCCGGGGCGCCGAAAGCCUAAGGGUUCCGUGGCAAUGGUGAUCAACCACGGGUGAGUCGGCCCUAAGGGGAACCCGAAAGGGGUACCUGAUGGACAGCAGGUUAAUAUUCCUGCACUUCUGCGUCGUCCGAGGGAGGGACGGAUUCUAGUAACCGAAACGCGUUAUCGGAUUCGCGUUCGUUGCUUAAGGGGGUCUUCCAGGGAAAUCCGGAAGGCAUUACUCCAAGAGCUGCGAGAAGGUCUGCCUACGGGUUGGCCAACUUCGGCGAGCAGGGUUCCGAGAAAAGCUUCUAAGGAUAACGGCGCGGAAACCGUACCGCAAAACCGACACAGGUAGGCGGGUGGAGUACACUAAGGCGAACGGGUGAUUCUUCGUUAAGGAACUCGGCAAAAUAGUGGCCGUACGUUCGCAAUAAGGCCUACCCUGCCAACAUGAGAUUACAUCAAAGUGGAUGGCGGGGUCGCAGCGAAAGACCCCUGGCGACUGUUUAUCAAAAACACAGCUCCCUGCGAAGCCGCAAGGCGCGGUAUAGGGGGUGACGCCUGUCCAGUGCCGGAACCUUAACGGCAGCGGUGUUCUGUUUGCGAUUAUCUCAAUAACAGAUUGCUUAUGCCCGAAGGGCCGGUGAACGACCGCGAUAACUAUAAUCGUGUUAAAGUAGCGAAAUUCCUUGGCAGGUAAGUUCUGUCCCGCACGAAAGGCGUAACGACUGGGGGACUGUCUCAACGAAGAGCCCGGUGAAAAUGCAAUACCCGUGAAGAUGCGGGUUACCCACAGAAGGACAAGAAGACCCCGGAAGCUUCACUACAACUUGGUAUUGUGUACGCGUUCCGAAUGCGUAGCGUAGGAGGGAGGCUUUGAAGGCCCGUUUUCGGACGGGCUGGAGCCGCCAAUGAAACACCUCUCUUUCGGAAUACGUAUGCUCACCCGAUGCUCUUCGCAGGAGUAUUGGGGACAGUGCCUGGCGGGUAGUUUUGGUGGGGUGCUAUCCUCCCAAAGAGUAACGGAGGAGCUCAUUAAGGUCGGCUAGCGCCGGAUGGACAUCGGCGCGAUAGGACAAACCCAUAAGCCGGCUUUACUGCAAGGCGGAUAUGCCGCGCAGUCGCGAAAGCGGGAGUUAGUGAACCGACCGUUAUCCCGAUGAUCCUUGAGCUUCGGUUCGAAGAUCGUCGGGACUCUGUAGAACGGCGGAAGAUCACCAGAUAAAAGCUACUCCGGGGAUAACAGGCUGGUUCCGCCCGAGCGUCCAUAGCGACGGCGGAGCUCGGCACCUCGAUGUCGGCUCAUCCCAUCCUGGGGCUGGAGAAGGUCCCAAGGGUUCGGCUGUUCGCCGAUUAAAGGGAUACGCGAGCUGGGUUCAAACCGUCGCGAGACAGGUUGGACUUCUAUCCGCUGUGGGCGUGGAAUCUUGAGGGGAGCUCUGCCUAGUACGAGAGGACCGGCAGGGACUGACCUCUGGUGUACCGGUUGUCGCGCCAGCGGCAUCGCCGGGUAGCUACGUCGGGAAGGAUAAGCGCUGAAAGCAUCUAAGCGCGAAGCCAACCCCAAGAUAAGGAUUCAUAGCCCUCUUGGAGAAGACGAGUUUGAUCGGCGGUAGGUGAAAGGGCAGUAAUGUCUUGAGCCGAGCCGUACGAAUAGGGCGUUGUCUUGGUC